This 81-nucleotide microRNA precursor is filed under the name Xiphophorus maculatus (southern platyfish). RNAcentral describes it as "mir-17 microRNA precursor family". It matches the Rfam family "mir-17 microRNA precursor family". Rfam says of the family: This family represents the microRNA (miRNA) precursor mir-17, family, which includes mir-20, mir-91, and mir-103. miRNAs are transcribed as ~70nt precursors (modelled here) and subsequently processed by the Dicer enzyme to give a ~22nt product. In this case the mature sequence comes from the 3' arm of the precursor. Lineage: Eukaryota; Metazoa; Chordata; Actinopteri; Cyprinodontiformes; Poeciliidae. The record is from Rfam by way of RNAcentral.
CAGUGUGUGAUAAAGUGCUUACAGUGCAGGUAGUGAUGAUUACCUGGUCUACUGCAGUGUGAGCACUUCUUUCCCACACCG